UGGGGAAUCUUGGACAAUGGGGGCAACCCUGAUCCAGCCAUGCCGCGUGAGUGAUGAAGGCCUUAGGGUCGUAAAGCUCUUUCGCCUGUGAAGAUAAUGACGGUACCUAGUAAAGAAGUCCCGGCUAACUCCGUGCCAGCAGCCGCGGUAAUACGGAGGGGACUAGCGUUGUUCGGAAUUACUGGGCGUAAAGAGUUCGUAGGCGGACUAGCAAGUUAGAGGUGAAAUCCCAGGGCUCAACCUUGGAACUGCCUUUAAAACUGCUAGUCUAGAGACCGGAAGAGGUUAGGGGAAUACCUAGUGUAGAGGUGAAAUUCGUAGAUAUUUGGAGGAACACCAGUGGCGAAGGCGGCUCACUGGCUCGAUACUGACGCUGAGGUGCGAAAGUGUGGGGAGCAAACAGGAUUAGAUACCCUGGUAGUCCACGCCGUAAACGAUGAGUGCUAGAUGUUGGGAUUUUCGGAUUUCAGUGUCGCAGCUAACGCAUUAAGCACUCCGCCU
RNAcentral lists this ribosomal RNA (501 nucleotides) under uncultured bacterium. RNAcentral's name for it is "bacterial SSU rRNA". It matches the Rfam family "Bacterial small subunit ribosomal RNA", at positions 355 to 874 of the family's 1533-position model. The record is from RNAcentral.